This is a non-coding RNA of Erinaceus europaeus (western European hedgehog), 405 nucleotides long. Lineage: Eukaryota; Metazoa; Chordata; Mammalia; Eulipotyphla; Erinaceidae. The record is from the annotation of a RefSeq genome assembly.
AUGCAGCUAAGCAGUCUGAAUUUUGAGGACAUGACUAUGUAUUACUGUGCAAGAGACACAAGCUGGAGAGUCCUCUUCCUGGUAGCAGUGACUGCAGGUGUGCACUCCCAGGAACAACUGACCCAGUCUGCGGCUGAGGUGAGGAAGCCUGGCACAUUUGUCAAGGUCUCUUGCAAGGCUUCUGGAUAUGAUUUCACCAACUACUACAUGCACUUGGUGCAGCAGGCCUCUGGAAAAUGCCUGGAGUGGAUUGACCCUGAAGAUAGUAAUGCAGAUUAUGCACAGAAGUUCCAGGGCAAAGCCACCAUGACUGCAGAAACAUCCUCCAACACAGCCUACAUGCAGCUGAGCAGUCUGAGUUUUGAGGACACAGCUGUGUAUAACUGUGCUAACGGACCACAAAAA